UUGAGGUGGUGGGACGACAUCCAAGCUGAGAUAUCUGCCAGGCACGCAGAGAUGCGUGUCGCCACCUGGGUGUCAGCAGGGGGAAGUAGUUGAGUCAUCUGUCCUAGUGCUUAGUCCACUGUGCUAGCAGGGGGUGGGCCACCAUUCUUGUUUUUUGCACAUAUUUAAAGCUGUGCAGGCAAAGUUCGUAGAUUAGAAAUGUAAUUAGUUAAGACUGUUGGAAAACUAGUCGCAACCAGGAUCCGAACUGGCGACCUUGGCAGGUUGCAACCCCGCGUUUAACGCCCCCCAUCCACCUCCAACCUAAAAAGUUAAUUUUCUUUGUCUCUCAGCUGUAAACUCCACUGAGCUUUCAUCCAACCAAUCAAUUUGGCCACUGAGCUUUCAUCCAACCAAAUGUUAAGCGGGCAACAAUCAGAUUGAAUCCAGGCCUUUAUGUCAUGAAGAAGAAACGGUACAGCGUGUUGUCUAUGACUUUAUUGUGUGUCCGUCAGAGAGGCCUCAGGAAAAGGUCCUGUGUGUAACACGCUCAGUAAUGAAGAAAGCUCAGAGGCCAGCGGUUUACCAACAAACCAGGAACUAGAGAGCUACAGGAUGUGUAGGCUUUUGUUCUAGCCCUGCACUAACACACCCGAUUCACCUAAUCAAAGUCUUGAUGAACAGUUUAUUAGCUGAGUAGUAUAUAGGUAUGCCGGCACAAAGAGUUUCUAUGGGAGUGGGGUGUUUGUCUAGCCUGGUCCCAAAUCUGCUAUUAUGUCAACUCCUUGUCAUGUCGUUUUGGAAUGAUAGCACAAAGAUCUGGGACCAGGCUAGUGUUUGUCUGAGUAAACAUUGCAGAUUCUACGAGUUCUUUAGUUGAAUCAGGAGUGUUUGUGCAGGUCUGGAGCAAAACCCUGCACAACCUGUAUUUCUCCAGGACCAGGGUUGCCAUUGGUGACCACUGUUGUAAAUGAAUAUAGGGAACAACCACAGCAGAUCAUACGACAGCUAUUAUUUAAAACACUUUUUCACACACAUGGUGUGGCAGACAAAAUAAAGAAGAUAUUUACACAUACAGCCCCAUUCUAGGGUUACACAUUUCCGGUACCUUUCCCGAAAUUCCCAAUGUUUUCCAGACAUCCCCGUUGGAGUAUUACCAGAUUCCAGGGAAUUUGUCAUUACAGGAAUAUUCCAACUGGGAUUUCUGGAAAACCUGUGAAUUCUGGGAAAGUUACCGGAAUUUUUGGUACCCUAAGCCGUUCACCUUUUGUAUUACUGCUCAGAACCAAUUGGUACAGUAUUAUCAUAAAUGACAGCGAGUGUUUGGCAAGGACUUCACUUCAGUCAGCCAUCUUGUGUCUCAAUGUUCCAAAAUGGCUUCCUUUCCUCAUCUCCUCUCCUUUAUCAGGGCGGAAAGGACAAGGAAAGGAAGCAAGAUAAUUGAGACACCGACAGUCUCAUCUUCAUUGUAGUUUUGGCGAGACACAGAAAAAGUUUUUUUCCGGCAAAACAAACUACAAAAACUACAACUCCCAGGUCACCCCUCUCUCACUGGGCCAGGAAAGAGGAAGUGGCAUCACUUCUUAGCGGGUACGCCCUCUGAGUAGUCCUCCAGUACUCCGGC
This is a long non-coding RNA of Coregonus clupeaformis (lake whitefish), 1603 nucleotides long. RefSeq lists it as uncharacterized. The record is from RefSeq and is a predicted model, not a curated record. Lineage: Eukaryota; Metazoa; Chordata; Actinopteri; Salmoniformes; Salmonidae. The transcript has 2 exons.